CCGUAGGUGAACUGCGGAAGGAUCAUUACCGAGUGAGGGCCCUCUGGGUCCAACCUCCCACCCGUGUUUAUUUUACCUUGUUGCUUCGGCGGGCCCGCCUUAACUGGCCGCCGGGGGGCUUACGCCCCCGGGCCCGCGCCCGCCGAAGACACCCUCGAACUCUGUCUGAAGAUUGUAGUCUGAGUGAAAAUAUAAAUUAUUUAAAACUUUCAACAACGGAUCUCUUGGUUCCGGCAUCGAUGAAGAACGCAGCGAAAUGCGAUACGUAAUGUGAAUUGCAAAUUCAGUGAAUCAUCGAGUCUUUGAACGCACAUUGCGCCCCCUGGUAUUCCGGGGGGCAUGCCUGUCCGAGCGUCAUUUCUGCCCUCAAGCACGGCUUGUGUGUUGGGCCCCGUCCUCCGAUCCCGGGGGACGGGCCCGAAAGGCAGCGGCGGCACCGCGUCCGGUCCUCGAGCGUAUGGGGCUUUGUCACCCGCUCUGUAGGCCCGGCCGGCGCUUGCCGAUCAACCCAAAU
This 514-nucleotide ribosomal RNA is filed under the name Penicillium chrysogenum. RNAcentral's name for it is "eukaryotic LSU rRNA". The stretch from base 205 to 357 matches the Rfam family "5.8S ribosomal RNA". Lineage: Eukaryota; Fungi; Ascomycota; Eurotiomycetes; Eurotiales; Aspergillaceae. The record is from RNAcentral.